This 83-nucleotide transfer RNA is filed under the name Canis lupus familiaris (dog). It matches the Rfam family "tRNA". From Rfam's summary of the family: Transfer RNA (tRNA) molecules are approximately 80 nucleotides in length. RNAcentral also lists the same sequence under 1 other name. The record is from Rfam by way of RNAcentral. Lineage: Eukaryota; Metazoa; Chordata; Mammalia; Carnivora; Canidae.
ACCUGGGUGGCUCAGUGGUUGAGUGUCUGCCUUUGGCUCAGGGCAUGACACCAGGGUCGUGGGAUCAAGUCCCACAUUGGGUU